RNAcentral lists this ribosomal RNA (1383 nucleotides) under marine metagenome. Its description in RNAcentral is "bacterial LSU rRNA". It matches the Rfam family "Bacterial large subunit ribosomal RNA", at positions 784 to 2271 of the family's 2925-position model. The record is from RNAcentral.
UGACGUUGAAAGUCUUUGGAUGACUUGUGGUAAGGGGUGAAAGGCCAACCAAAUUCGUAGAUAGCUGGUUUUCCGCGAAAACUAUUUAGGUAGUGCGAUGAAUAAAUAUGUAUUUAGAGGUAGAGCACUAAAUGGGCUAGGGGGAAGAGAUUCUUACCAAACCUAAUAAAACUCCGAAUGCUAAAUAUAGUUCUUCAUCAGACAGACUGUGGGUGCUAAGGUCCAUGGUCGAGAGGGAAAAAGCCCAGACCACCAGAUAAGGUCCCGAAAUUGUGAUUAAGUGUGAAAGGAUGUGGAAAUUCCUUAACAGCCGGGAGGUUGGCUUAGAAGCAGCCAUCCUUUAAAGAUAGCGUAACAGCUCACCGGUCUAAUAGAGUUUCUGCGCCGAAGAUGUAACGGGGCUAAAAUCACAUACCGAAUCUGUGGGUUUAUAAAACUUUGUUUUAUAAGCGGUAGCGGAACGUUCUGUAAGCCUGUAAAGGAAUACCCGUGAGGGAUUCUGGAGGUAUCAGAAGUGCGAAUGCUGACAUAAGUAACGAUAAAUAAAGUGAAAAACUUUAUCGCCGAAAAUCCAAGGGUUUCUGCGCAAGGUUAAUCCGCGCAGAGUUAGUCGGCCCCUAAGGCGAGGGCGAAAGCCGUAGUCGAUGGAAAUAAGGUUAAUAUUCCUUAACCAGAUGGAAGUGACGAAUUUCGUAAGUUGUGAAUUCUUAAUGGAUUGAACUUGCUGUGAAGAAGUUCCAGGAAAUAGCUCCAUCAUAAGACCGUACCCUAAACCGACACAGGUGGAUUAAUAGAGUAUAUUUAGGCGCUUGAGAGAAUGAUGUUGAAGGAACUCGGCAAAAUGCUUCUGUAACUUCGGGAUAAAGAAGACCUUUUUUUGGGCAACCAAAUAGAAGGUGGCACAAGCCAGGGAGAAGCGACUGUUUAUCAAAAACACAGGGCUCUGCUAACACGUAAGUGGAUGUAUAGGGUCUGACGCCUGCCCGGUGCUGGAAGGUUAAUGCGAUGGGUGCAAGCUCAUUUCUGAAGCCCCAGUAAACGGCGGCCGUAACUAUAACGGUCCUAAGGUAGCGAAAUUCCUUGUCGGGUAAGUUCCGACCUGCAUGAAUGGCGUAACGAUUUCUCCGCUGUCUCCAACAUCAACUCAGUGAAAUUGAAUUCUCCGUGAAGAUGCGGAGUUCGCGUAGUUAGACGGAAAGACCCCGUGCACCUUUACUGCAACUUUACAUUGGUGUUAGGAAAAACAUAUUUAGCAUAGGAGGGAGACUUUGAAGCAAAGGCGUCAGCUUUUGUGGAGUCACCAGUGAAAUACCUCUUUUGUUUUUCUUGACAUCUAACUGAUUGCCGUUAUCCGGCAUCAAGACAUUGUAUGGUGGGUAGUUG